GGGUCGGUGGCGUAGUUGGUUAUCGCAUCUGUCUAACAGUAGUUCACAGAAGGUCCUCAGUUCGAACCUGGGCCGACUCA
This 80-nucleotide transfer RNA is filed under the name Wolfiporia cocos MD-104 SS10. RNAcentral's name for it is "tRNA-Val". Lineage: Eukaryota; Fungi; Basidiomycota; Agaricomycetes; Polyporales; Phaeolaceae. The record is from RNAcentral.